AUGAAUAACACAUCUGCUGACUCAUGACUAGAUGAUUUUAUAGACUCAGUAAGUUUCUAGUGCCCCUGUGACAACAAGCUGUGGCCCCCCUAAAUGUGGAGUGUGAAAUAAUUUUUACAAAAUUGUUUUUUGCGAUCGUUGUUUUUUUUACAUCCGAUAUUAGACAGUGGCAACGCGGAACAGAAAUGUAACCCACAUAUUUUCUAGAGUGACUGCUUAAAGCAGAACACAACAGUAUCGCAAAAUGUGCAACGUGCAGUUUUUUUCUACUCAGAAGUUGGUGGAUGUUUUGCUCAAAUAUUAUUAUUGAAGACUUCAAGCAAAGAAGGAAAUAUAGAGAUAUCAGCAAAUCCCGGGAAGAACCACCUGUGCAGCCAAUAAUGAAUACAUACCCAAGAACUCUGAUGGGGGACCGGAGGAGGAGCUUCAAGGCAGCCUGGUACCAUAUCCACCCCUGGCUUGAAUAUUCCAAACAAUCAGACUCUGUGUUUUGUUAUGCCUGCAGGCAUUUUAGCCCUCCCAAAGUCUCAGAGAUGGUAUUUGAUUCAAAAUUGGGUUUUAACAAUUGGAAAAAGGCAACUUACAAACAGGGGGGAUUUGCAAUUCAUGCAAGGUCUGAGCGGCACAAACAAGCAAUGAUUACAUGGAGAGACUAUCAGAAAGCUGUAAAAAGUAAUGCAACACUGGUAAAUGCCCUAAACAAGGAACACAACAAACAGGUUCAAGAAAAUCGGGACUAUAUUAAAACAACAGGAGAAAUACUACUACUUACAGUCACACAAAACAUCGCACAAAGAGGACACGAUGAGUCAGAUAAUAAAGGGAACUUCGUGGCAAUCUUAGAAACAAUAGCUAAGCAUGACAAAACUGUGCAAAAAAGGUUGACUUCCAUUCAUAAUGCAAAAUAUACUAGCAAAGGGAUUCAGAAUGAGGUUUUGAGUUGUUUGGCAGACAUGGUUCGAACAAACAUGAUCGAAGAAGUGAAAGACAGUGAGGUCUAUAGCAUAAUUGCAGAUGAAACAAAAGAUGUAAAAAAAAAAAAAGGAGCAGAUAUCUCUAGUACUCAGGUACUAUUUCAGUGGGGCUGUCCAUGAGAGCUUUCUCCAAUUUGAAUCGGCUGAUCGACUAGAUGCAGCAGGGCUUACUGACAAAAUCAUAUAUGUAUUAGAAAAUCAUGGUCUUGAAUACAAAAACAACCUAGUAGGCCAAGCAUAUGACGGUGCUUCAGUUAUGAGUGGCAAGCAUUCAGGUGUCCAGGCACGCAUUAAAGAACAAGCAAAGCAUGCCUUUUACAUCCACUGCAAUGCACACUGUCUGAAUUUAGUUUUAGUGGAUACAGUCAAAGCUAUCCCUGAGGUAGGAGAAUUCUUCACCUUACUAGAAAUACUGUAUGUAUUCACAUCUGGGUCAUAUGUGCAUCAAAAAUGGCUUAGGAUACAGAAAGAGAUGUACCCAGGUGCACCGGCUAGAGAGCUUCAGAGGCUAGGUGACACUCGCUGGGCAUGUCGAUAUAUGGCUUUACACACUAUUAUGGAUAGAUUGCCUGCCAUUAAGCAAGUCCUGCAAGACAUAGUCCAAGAACACAGUGGUGACAGAUCUGUUGAGGCUAGAGGUCUGCUUGCACAGAUAGAUUUACAGUUCAUUGUGUGCCUUGUUACCCUCCAUAAAGUGUUAGGAGAAGCAAAAUGUCUAUCAGAUAUGCUACAGUCUUCAUCACUUGACCUGUCAAAGGCUGUUGAUUUAGUUGAAGCCUUAGUUCAGACUUUGAAUGAUUACAGGGAUGAGUCAUUUUUUGAUGACCUAUGGAGCAAUGUGAUACUGUAAUACAGCCCCCUGCAAAACGACCAAAAAAGCUAAGCUCUCAAUUUAAUGCAGACUGUGUACUCAGUACAGUGGGUCAGAGGUCAGAUUCAGAACGAGAAAAAGAGAGUUUUUGCACAACCCUUUUCUACCCUGUUUUAGAUCAGAUGCUCAAUGAGCUUAACAGAAGGUUUUCUAGCAAAAACUGUGAAAUAAUGACUGGCAUCCAAACUCUAAACCCUACAAGUGAUGUGUUUCUCAAAGAAAAGUCUCUGUUUCCAUUUGCUAGAAUGUACGAAUCAAAUAUUGAGGACUUGGGGCAUGAACUACAUCAGUUCAGAAGAAUUUUAGAAAGGAAAUUACAGAGUGGCAUGCAGAAACCCUCCAGUGUAGUAGAGCUGGCAUUAUUCAUUGAACCUUAUAAAGAAGUUUUCUUUGAGCUUUUUAAACUAUGCAAGAUAGCUGUUUCAAUCCCUGUUAGUACUGCUUCUUGUGAACAGAGUUUUUCUGCACUAAAGCUGGUGAAAACCUAUCUCAGGUCCACAAUGUCAGAUGACAGAUUAAGCAAUUUAGGUGUGCUGAGUAUUGAGUCAAGGAGGGCAAAGGCCUUAAAUUUAGAUGAAUUUGUUAAUCUUUUUGCAAAAAACCACAAAAACCUUAGGAUACAGUUACUGUGACUGAUACUGUAUGUUAUGUAAAUGUAAAAAUAUAAGUAAAAUGCAAAAUUCAAGCCAGUUGAAAUGGUCUAGAACCGCCACCGUGUGUGUGUGUGUGUUCAUUGCUCUGUGUGUGCACCUUGGAUGGGUUAAAUGCAGACAACAAAUUCUGAGUAUGGGUCACCACACUUAGCCGUAUGUCACUUUCACUUUUAAAAAACUUCAUUAAAUCGUUAGUGUGGAGCGACAGCAGGACAUCAGUGACCGUCACGAACAAAUGGUCUGUGACUGUGAUUACCAUUUAAAGUGACCAUGUGGUGAUAAAAAUUGUAACAAUACCAAGCCAAGGUGUACGUGACCAUGAUUAACAUUUAAAGACAUACGGCUAGACAACAAGGUCAAUCCCAGACAUUUGGGAGACACUCAGCUCUUAAGCUCAAUACACAUUCAAAGCUGUGAGUGUUAUUAUUGUUUGUGAGUUGUGAGUGUUAUUGUUUAAGUUGUGUGUUAUUGUUUGUUACUGUAGUUGAACUCGAGGCCAGACGCAGUGUGUCUGUUCCCGCAGCAGUAAGACUUUUGAGUUCAAAAACCCGAUGUAUUGUGGCUGUUUUGUUCAUUUGCGUCCGAAGUACUGGAGCUGUGAAUAAGUAAACGUUAACUAGACAACCUGUAGUCACUGAAACUGUGUACAAGAUUUAAGAAAAGUUUUGAGUUUGUAAAAAUGGAACAGCUGAUUGUUAAGUACAUCGCUAAACACGGUUCUCAGGGAAUGUUUGAUGGAAUAGAGAACAUUGUUGAUAAACCGUAUCAGGUUGUUUCUAAGCUUAAAAAUGAUCCUAAAAUGCCCAAGAACAAAAAAGGAAAAAUUGCCAAUGCACUGCAAGCAGUUCUUGCAUCAUACAAAGUAACUAGAAAGACUUUAACUGCAUUAAAGGCUGAAAAUGAGUAACUGCAAUCUAUAGAUGAUGGGAUAAUCUCUAAAAGAGAUUACCAGAUUAGUGAAAUACUGUUGUUAGGAUGCAGAAUUAGAUUGCACUCCUUAAAACUAACAACAGCAUGCAUAGUUUGCAACUGUGACAAGCAGCAGUAAGACAAUGUGGCAUGUUGUGUAAUCAAGUUCCUGAAAUGCUAAACAGUGAUGGGAACUCAUAAAGAGAUUCUCAGUCAGUCAGUAGUCAAAACUCUGACUGUGCAGUUAGAUUUCCUAUGGCUCCAAUUCACCUGACUACAACUAUGCAUGCUAAUGAAGGAGCGGAGGAACCAAUGACCUCUACUAUGGUCAGAGGGUUUAAUCACAAUGAGCUAGAAGCUGUGAUUAAAACUAUUGGUAAAUUUGAUCCUGCCAAACAAGAUCCAUAAGAUUUUCUAAAGGUUUUCAAGCUAUAUGCUGACAUUAACAAAUUUACAGAUGGUGAUGCAUGUGUAUUGUUAACUGUGUGUUUGCCUGACACUUUGUCUGGACCGUUAAAUCAGGAAGUCAAAACUAGAGCUGCCAAUAGGUUCGAGAGGAAACAGGCACUGCUUGAAGUCCUAGGUGUAAUGUCCGUUGACUGGGAUAAAAUAUCUGAUGUGCAAAUGAAGAAAGGGGAGCACCCCAUGGUACUUUCAGAGUGUUUAUGGGAGACAUUUAAAACCAGAAUCAGAAAGAUCUUUAUUGCCAAGUAUGUUUUCACAUACGAGGAAUUUGUUCUCGUACAGAAGCUCGACAGUGUAAACAGAAUGGCAAGACAGGAACACAUAUAUAAUAAAGGCAGUUGUAUGUACAGUGGAUAAUAAAGGCAGUUGUAUGUACAGUACAGUGGAUAAUAAAGGCAGUUGUAUGUACAGUGGAUAAUGCAGUUGUAUGUACAGUACAGUGGAUAAUAAAGGCAGUUGUAUGUACAGUGGAUAAUGCAGUUGUAUGUACAGUACAGUGGAUAAUAAAGGCAGUUGUAUGUACAGUGGAUUAUAAAGGCAGUUGUAUGUACAGUACAGUGGAUAAUAAAGGCAGUUGUAUGUACAGUGGAUAAUAAAGGCAGUUGUAUGUACAGUGGAUAAUAAAGGCAGUUGUAUGUACAGUACAGUGGAUAAUAAAGGCAGUUGUAUGUACAGUGGAUAAUAAAGGCAGUUGUAUGUACAGUGGAUAAUAAAGGCUUUCUGUGGCAAUCCUGACAUCACUCCGAAUGAUGUCAGUUUUAAUCUGCUUUGAUUAACAAAUGUGACCCACUGACCCGUUCUGCUGUGUCGAUGUUUGUAACCCAUCUCUCUGAUUAUAAUGACAUCAUUGCUAAAAUGACACAGUUUUUCAACAACAAUGCUAACGCAAGGAACGUCCAUCCUGUGUCAGCAGUAGGUGUUAAAAACCUCAAUAAGAAUAGAGCCAGCCAGGUUUCCUGGAAAAAUGAGAACUACACUACUGGAGAUAGAAAGGAAAGACUCCUACUCUUAACCCUGAUAACCUGCUGGUGUGUUAUUCAUGUGGAAAAGAGGGACAUAUUUCAAGGGACUGCAAAUUUUCCCUUAAGAGAACAGGCCACAAAACUAUUUAAACCAGUUACAGGCUACAGUAAACAGACUGAGAAAGGAGCUCAAGAAUCUGUGUAACACCUUGCCUGUUGUUUUUCACUAAGCCACUCAGCAAAUUUGGCAAAGUCAGAAAAACAAAAUGCACUCUGGUCAGAAUGUGCACCAUCACAAAUUUAAAAUUAGUGAUGAAGUCAUGGUAAAGAAUUACCAACAUGAGGGCCCAUGGUCUGCUCACUGGGAGAGACCAGGCAGAGAUUCACAAGCUAAAAACCAACAACCUGGAAAGAGAUCAUUCCACAUAGAUCCAUUAAUAUAAUAAAAAGCUUAUGGCAGUCAUAAGGGCCAUGUAAAUAGGCAAGUUUAUGUUGUAUGUGUUUGUAAUGUUUUUUGUGUUGUGUUUAUAAAAGGGGGGGUAAAUUCAUUAUGUUUUCAAGUGUUUUUCAGGUCGAAAAGAAAUAAAGAUGUGGGGAUGGACAAAAAAGGCAGCUCUGAUGACAGCAUUAAAGAUACAAGAGUGCCCAAUGCUGUCCAAAAGUGCUUAUCUACAAUGGAUCCAUGUUCCGGUCUUCCAGAUGAACAGUGUAACAGAGAGUGUGACAGGAAUGUAUAAGGUCUUCUUGACAACAACAUUCCUGAGAUAUCACAGUGCUGUUGCAACCAGUUCAUCACCACCUCAGAGAACAUCUUUAAAUAAUCCCAAGGAACAGGUGAUGAAAGGAUUCUAAGGAUGGACAAUUUGGGAAUAUUACAGGAAAAUGUGUUUAAGGAGAGAAGGGAUCUACCAAGAUUUAUCACAGUUACCAUCAGGAGUUUACACUGGUCUAAUAUAAUCUAAAUACCUUCUUACUGAGGCUCGAGUGAGUGCUGGAUCUGAUCGACAAGGAACACAGUUAAAUACAGUUACGUACAUCAGCAGUGGCACCAGGAGCUCACACACCUUUAGUGGAGAAAGUCUACAGACUGAACAGAAGGACUCUUACUCUGAAUGAGGAGUCGCACGUGUCUGAGGUCUGCCUUAUAGCACUGACAAGUGUAUAAACCUCUCCUGCUAUAAUCAGCUGCAGUAAUGGUGAGAGACAGAUUCCCCUUCAGGAACUGGUCAUGAGAGAGAAUAAAGCCUUCUUCAGAGCUGCAGGACAUCUGAUUACACUGAGCCACAGUCGCACGAAUCCUGCUCCAUCUGAGUACACCUGAACAUUUCUGCUCACAGAGUCGCCAGGUUUUUAUCCAACUUCAUCAUUGCCUCGUCAUCCAGCUCCUCAUCCUCGCUGACAUCCACCUCAGUGGCCUGAAGACCAGAAUAUAACCAGAGUUUCAUCAUCACGCCUCAGGACUUGUAGCUGAUUUAUUUUUAUGAAACAGGAUGUUAUUUUGUUUUAGGCAAAUAUCAGUCAAUUACGCUUUCAAAGGAUAAAGUGAAAUGAUUUGUCCCUGAAACUGAAACACUGAAACUGAAAAACCUGUGUGACUCAGUAACAGAUUAUGACUCACUUUAGUGAAUAGAUUCUUCUGAAGCACUUUGGAGUUUUGAUAAAUCUGAUUUAUUUACAGGUUCACACCUCCACCAUAUGUAUAUAUAAUCAUGUAUUUAUCAUUAAUCAUAAAGCAUAAAUAUAACUAAACAAUGUUUUGAUUAAUCACUCAAGUGAUUCACCUGAUUCACUCAAUAAUCAUACAAAAUGAAUAGUUCAGAACGACUCAUUGA
Long non-coding RNA from Tachysurus vachellii, 6666 nucleotides. RefSeq lists it as uncharacterized. The record is from RefSeq and is a predicted model, not a curated record. Lineage: Eukaryota; Metazoa; Chordata; Actinopteri; Siluriformes; Bagridae. The transcript has 3 exons.